Malurus melanocephalus (red-backed fairy wren) is the source of this 1469-nucleotide long non-coding RNA. RefSeq lists it as uncharacterized. The record is from RefSeq and is a predicted model, not a curated record. The transcript is spliced from 3 exons. Lineage: Eukaryota; Metazoa; Chordata; Aves; Passeriformes; Maluridae.
UCAUUCAGUUGUCUCAGUGUUUUCUGUCUUGCUUUAAUUUACAUCCCUCCUCUGAAUUUCCUGGUUAGUUUCUAAGCAUUUAGGGAGAAGGAUAUUUAUUGUAUGUUCACACAGAGAUUAAAAGAACAGGCUCCCUCCCAUAUCACAGAAGAUGGCUAAUGUAUACAAACAAUUAAUCCAUCUGGGGCUUAAUCUGAAGAUGGAAGAUUAGCAUAAUGGGCACUACGAUGAUGAUACCUGAGGAAGAAAAAUGGGCAGUAUUGAAAUGAUCUCACUGUCAAGGAAGCUGCUUAAAAAUAAUAUGCUGGAAGCAUAUCCUUAACAUAAUCAUCAACUUGCCUUCUGUGGAGUGAUUGUGACUGCCUUAGGGUGCAUUCAGGAUGUAAGAAUCUUCUGGCUUUACUGGACCUUUGUAAGACCCUACUGGAUCUUGGCAACCUGCUCUGGUGUGGAUGUGUGAUCGAGCCCUCAUUACUGGAGUCAUUGCUCCACAAUGCCCAUGCAGACUUGCUUGGGAGAGGCAAGUGUGCAAUGAUCCUACUGCUGAACCUGCCCCAGUGUAUUGCAGCUCUACCAGAGAAAUGCAGGCUUGUGAUCUCCCACUGGACAGUAGGGUCCAAAGCACGGCACACAAACACUGUCAUGAUUUACUCUUUGAGCUGUUUUGRACCCUGAGAACACUGCGAAGGGGGACAAAAUUAUCAGCUCCUGUAUGUAUAGCUGUGUCUGUGCUCUGCAGUGUUCUUGUGCCUCUUUCAGAUUUCCAGUUUGGUUGUAAAUGGAUUUUUUUUCUUAUUUAUUUUUUUUAAGGAAAUACCACCCCCUAAAAUCAAGAGCUUGUUAAACAGUUGCAGGCAAUUAAGCAUGUGCUAUCUCCACACCCUUCCCACCCUGCUGWUACAGUCAGAUGCCCAUUCAAACAAGCCAUUUUGUUUCAAACCACACCGGAUAAAAUAAUAAUCCAAAACACAGUAUUUCUUUAAUUCCAAAAUUUAUACAAGUUUACAAAUCAAUAUACCACCACACAAAGUAGUGAAAGGAAGAGAAGGUAUGUUUAGCAACAUUUUACUAUAUCAUAACUAUGUUCAAAUAUUGUUAAAUUUGACAUAGUAUUGCAAGAUUUUUUUUUAAUAUAAAGAAUUAAUGCAUGAACAAGAAGAUACAGAUAAUACCAUUACUUUCUUUGUUUCUAUSCAACGCAAUAUAUAGCUUCUAGAAAAUAUUGGUGAAAUGCUGUAUCUACUUCAUAUGAGCUUUAUUUCCAUUAAAAUCUUGAAACAAAAUGGCAACACAAAGUGAAACCCGACCUUACUAAUUAUUAAAGUCAAUAAAUAGAAAUAUGUUUGAACAUUACAGCAAAUAUAUGUUAAUUUCACUCCAUUUCCCCCUUUCUCUGUACAGAUACAGUUCCAUAAGUUUUGGUGGGAUUUUUUUUUCAGAUUUCUGUUAAAUACAAGUUUCAAACUAUU